This 254-nucleotide ribosomal RNA is filed under the name uncultured bacterium. RNAcentral describes it as "partial 16S ribosomal RNA". It matches the Rfam family "Bacterial small subunit ribosomal RNA", at positions 524 to 776 of the family's 1533-position model. The record is from RNAcentral.
UACGGGGGGAGCAAGCGUUGUUCGGAUUUACUGGGCGUAAAGGGCGCGUAGGCGGUCGUGACAAGUCACUUGUGAAAUCUCCGGGCUUAACUCGGAACGGUCAAGUGAUACUGUCGGACUAGAGUACAGAAGGGGCAACUGGAAUUCUCGGUGUAGCGGUGAAAUGCGUAGAUAUCGGUAGGAACACCAGUGGCGAAGGCGGUCUCCUGGGGCAUUCUUGACGCUGAGGCGCGAAAGCUGGGGGAGCAAACGGG